RNAcentral lists this unclassified non-coding RNA (207 nucleotides) under Enterobacter sp. kpr-6. RNAcentral's name for it is "SgrS RNA". The stretch from base 101 to 207 matches the Rfam family "SgrS RNA". Rfam says of the family: In sugar transport-related sRNA (SgrS) is induced under conditions of glucose phosphate stress in E.coli. This small RNA acts to negatively regulate the translation and stability of the ptsG mRNA, which encodes the major glucose transporter in E. coli. Lineage: Bacteria; Pseudomonadati; Pseudomonadota; Gammaproteobacteria; Enterobacterales; Enterobacteriaceae. The record is from RNAcentral.
GAUGAACUGUUGUUGCAGACGACCAGACGGCAUAAAAGGGGAACUCCUGACAAAAACUCAUCAAUUUAUUAAUCCCUAUAUUAAGCCAAUACUUCUCUCCGAUGAAAGCGAGGAGGGGACAUCUGCAAUCUGAAUCGCGGCCAUCAUGUGUGACUGAGUAUUGGUGCUUUUCGCCACGCCAGCAGCUACUAUCUGCUGGCUUUUUUC